Long non-coding RNA from Eptesicus fuscus (big brown bat), 711 nucleotides. RefSeq lists it as uncharacterized. The transcript is spliced from 3 exons. The record is from RefSeq and is a predicted model, not a curated record. NCBI's taxonomy places the organism in Eukaryota, Metazoa, Chordata, Mammalia, Chiroptera, Vespertilionidae.
AACCAAGGUGGAUUCCUCCGGAUCACAGUCAUUCCAAGCCUUUAGAACUGAGGGGCACAAACUCCGCCGGAGAGCAGGCUCCAUAAUUGUUCCAUCUUGUAGGAGCGCCCAGAGGCCCUCCCUCUAGCGGCCGGUCAGAGGAAACACUCGUUCAUCUGUUGCUUCUUGUAUGUGACCUGACCAAAGAUCAAACCUGCAACCUUGAUGUAUCAGGAGGAUGCUCUGAACAACUGACCUACCCAGCCAGGACCAAUCCAGAUUUGACACAAUUUACCCAAAUCCUCUAGGAUAUUGAUGAAGGGAGCACUAUUAAGAGUUUAUACUAUGGAAGCAAAUGAAAAAAUAUACGAACAGAAUUUUUCCACUCAAGAUAAGUAAUUUUUCUUAAACUGAUUUUUUUUUCACAUGCAAUGGUUGGAAAUAUUACUAGAAGCUUGGUUACUAUAAAGUGCAUAAACUGAUUGGUACCAGUGUUUUCAAUGAACUCUCAGACUACAUUCCACAUUUCUUGUUUCCUUAGUAUGCCUGCUUUGUUUUAAGUGUGUCAUGUUCUGGCACUCCACACAUAUAUAUCUCUGAAUCCUAAUCUUGUAUUGUUGCCAAGAUGAAAUGAGCUAGGGACAAAUUCCUCUCUAGGAGAGAAACAUGAAUAUAUUUCAAAUUGCAAUGAGCUCUAACAAGCAAUUAGCCUAUGGUCAUUAUUUUGUGCAU